Molecule: ribosomal RNA, 1338 nt
Filed under: Triticum aestivum (bread wheat)
Lineage: Eukaryota; Viridiplantae; Streptophyta; Magnoliopsida; Poales; Poaceae
Description: partial small subunit ribosomal RNA
Source: RNAcentral
AUGCCCCCGCGCCUCGUGCUCCUGCUCCUCCUCCUGGCCGCCACCUUCCCACCGCCGGCCGCGGCCCGGGUCGGCGACCACGAGCCCCCUCCCCCUCCCCCGCACCCGCGCGCCCGCCAGCACCGGGCCCAGAGCGGCGGCGGUACCGGGGGCGCGAGCCGCGUGCUCACCACCGCGCUCGUCGCCGCCGCGUCGCUCCUCGCCGUGCUCCUGCUCUACCUCUGCGUCGCCAUCGCCGUGCGCCGCAUCCGCGGCAAGGGGGAGGGCGGCGGCGGGCGCGCGUCGCGGCAGCAGGCGUCGCAGUCCUCCCGCGCGGCGGCGUUCCUCCGCCGCCACGGCCUGCACCACAGCCGCCCGGCCUUCACCUACGAGCAGCUCCGCGCCGCCACGGCCGGGUUCGACGCCGCGCGCAAGCUCGGGGACGGCGGCUUCGGGACGGUGUACCUCGCGUACCUCCCGCCCGCGGGCCGCCCCGCCGCCGUCAAGCGGCUCCACGUGCCGCCCUCCCCGUCCCCGUCCUCCGCCACCAUCACCAAGUCCUUCUGCAACGAGGUGCUCAUCCUCUCCGCGCUCCGCCACCCGCACCUCGUCCGCCUCCACGGCUUCUGCGCCGACCCGCGCGCGCUGCUCCUCGUCUACGACUUCGUCCCCAACGGCACCCUCUCGCACCACCUCCACCGCCGGGGCCGCGGCAUCGCCGCCACGCCGCCCCCGCCGCCGCUCCCCUGGCGGACCCGGCUCGCCAUGGCGGCCCAGAUCGCGUCGGCGCUGGAGUACCUCCACUUCGCGGUGAAGCCGCACGUGGUCCACCGCGACGUCACCUCCUCCAACAUCUUCGUGGAGGCGGACAUGCGCGCCCGGCUCGGCGACUUCGGGCUGUCGCGGCUCCUGGCGACGCCCGACGCCUGCUCCACGGCGACCGGGCGGGAGGUGGUGUGCUGCACGGCGCCGCAGGGCACGCCGGGGUACCUGGACCCGGACUACCACCGGUCGUUCCAGCUGACGGAGAAGAGCGACGUGUACAGCUUCGGCGUGGUGGUGCUGGAGCUGGUGACAGGGCUGCGGCCCGUGGACGUGGGCCGGGAGCGGCGGGACGUGACGCUGGCGGACUGGGUGGUGUCCAAGAUCCAGAUCGGCGAGCUGAGGGAGGUGGUCGACCCGCCGGUGCUGGGCGAGCUCCCCGGCGUGAUGCCCAGCGUGGAGGCGGUGGCGGAGCUGGCGUUCCGGUGCGUGGCGCCGGACAAGGACGACCGGCCCGACGCCCGGGAGGCGCUGGCCGAGCUGAGGAGGAUCCAGGGGAUGCUCCCCGAGCUGUCCGGCCACAAGGACUCCUCUUGA